CCUACGGGUGGCAGCAGUGGGGAAUAUUGGACAAUGGGGGCAACCCUGAUCCAGCCAUGCCGCGUGAGUGAUGAAGGCCCUAGGGUUGUAAAGCUCUUUUGUGCGGGAAGAUAAUGACGGUACCGCAAGAAUAAGCCCCGGCUAACUUCGUGCCAGCAGCCGCGGUAAUACGAAGGGGGCUAGCGUUGCUCGGAAUCACUGGGCGUAAAGGGUGCGUAGGCGGGUCUUUAAGUCAGGGGUGAAAUCCUGGAGCUCAACUCCAGAACUGCCUUUGAUACUGAAGAUCUUGAGUUCGGGAGAGGUGAGUGGAACUGCGAGUGUAGAGGUGAAAUUCGUAGAUAUUCGCAAGAACACCAGUGGCGAAGGCGGCUCACUGGCCCGAUACUGACGCUGAGGCACGAAAGCGUGGGGAGCAAACAGGAUUAGAUACCCGUGUAGUC
This 440-nucleotide ribosomal RNA is filed under the name uncultured Bradyrhizobiaceae bacterium. RNAcentral's name for it is "bacterial SSU rRNA". It matches the Rfam family "Bacterial small subunit ribosomal RNA", at positions 338 to 795 of the family's 1533-position model. Lineage: Bacteria; Pseudomonadati; Pseudomonadota; Alphaproteobacteria; Hyphomicrobiales; Nitrobacteraceae. The record is from RNAcentral.